AGGAGGAGGAGGAGGAGGAGGAGGAGGAGGAGGAGGAAGAAAAAGAAGAAAAGAAGCAGAAGAAACAGGCUCAGCUCUAUGGAGGGCCACAAAAAAUAUAAAUAAUAGACACAGGCAUGGUGGAGGCCGAAGCAGGAAGAACCCAAGACCAACAUGGGCUACUUAACAAGACUCUGUCUUAAACAAUUAAAAUAACCGUGCAUGGAGUGUCUCCCAAGUGUCACUGUUCAAGAGAUGGCCACGGGCAUUUGUAGGGACAUGGCAGAUAAGUCUCACCUAGAGAAACAGACAGCCAUGCUUGGAAGGUUGGACAGAGUGAAGCCAGUAAGCAAUGGGAACCGGCCAGGGAGCCGGGACUAAAGAGACGGAUUUCAGGUUGGCCCGGGUGGAGGUGGGCUGGAAAGGAGAGUGACUUUACCAACCCAGCCUUCAAUUCAUCCCAAGUUCAAUCAGGUAAUAAAUGCUGACCG
RNAcentral lists this long non-coding RNA (470 nucleotides) under Cricetulus griseus (Chinese hamster). RNAcentral describes it as "lncRNA (ENSCGRG00015041330.1)". The record is from RNAcentral. Lineage: Eukaryota; Metazoa; Chordata; Mammalia; Rodentia; Cricetidae.